GAUGAACGCUGGCGGCGUGCCUAAUACAUGCAAGUCGAGCGAACGGACGAGAAGCUUGCUUCUCUGAUGUUAGCGGCGGACGGGUGAGUAACACGUGGAUAACCUACCUAUAAGACUGGGAUAACUUCGGGAAACCGGAGCUAAUACCAGAUAAUAUUUUGAACCGCAUGGUUCAAAAGUGAAAGACGGUCUUGCUGUCACUUAUAGAUGGAUCCGCGCUGCAUUAGCUAGUUGGUAAGGUAACGGCUUACCAAGGCAACGAUGCAUAGCCGACCUGAGAGGGUGAUCGGCCACACUGGAACUGAGACACGGUCCAGACUCCUACGGGAGGCAGCAGUAGGGAAUCUUCCGCAAAGGGCGAAAGCCUGACGGAGCAACGCCGCGUGAGUGAUGAAGGUCUUCGGAUCGUAAAACUCUGUUAUUAGGGAAGAACAUAUGUGUAAGUAACUGUGCACAUCUUGACGGUACCUAAUCAGAAAGCCACGGCUAACUACGUG
Molecule: ribosomal RNA, 497 nt
Filed under: uncultured bacterium
Lineage: Bacteria
Description: partial 16S ribosomal RNA
Rfam family: Bacterial small subunit ribosomal RNA
Source: RNAcentral